RNAcentral lists this long non-coding RNA (1344 nucleotides) under Taeniopygia guttata (zebra finch). RNAcentral's name for it is "lncRNA (ENSTGUG00000026588.1)". Lineage: Eukaryota; Metazoa; Chordata; Aves; Passeriformes; Estrildidae. The record is from RNAcentral.
UUCAGGCAUUUGUUUUAAAGACACUAGAUUGGGCACUAUCUGUAUUUAGAUUAAAAUCCUCCCCCACAAGGUUUGCAGUAUAAUAUCUGUGGUACUGGCAUGUGCAGCACUGCCCGAAGAAUGGAACUGGCUGGAAAUUCCCUCAUCUGCAUAAAUGCAAAUGACUAAAGAAGUUGGACUGGUGGGAGAAAUAUGAGUAGAUUGUGGAUUUUAUUCUUCCUUUAUUGAUGUAAAUUGCAGGCAUGUGUAAUGAUAUUUGUGAUUUUAAAGUAGGCUGUGUCCCUUCAAAGAAAAUGUGAGCUCAUAAAUCCUGGGAGAUUAGAGAUCCUGAGGCCCGAUGUGGCAACGGCUCCGGGUUUAUGGCAUUCCUCAAGACAGCCAGGAUAGGAUGUUCUGUGACCUGGCUUUUAUGAAGAUCAAAAGGCUUCAGACUGUUGAGAAUAAGAUUUUCACAUCAUGCAGGGGGAGACACCAAGCUGUCAAAUGGGAGGAGGCUCUUUGAAGUGUGGAGAUAAGGACCCUGCUAACCUUCAGUCAGGUAUGAAAGCCUUUUCCAGCGGCACAGGAGCGUGUCCUUCCAUUGGACCUUUCAUGGAAUAGCCCAGCUGAGUUCAUUCAGAUUCCUCAAAGGGGCUGGCAUUGGCAGCUGCAUCAUCGUGGUGCCUUGAGAAAGCACUUCUGCACAGUAUUUCUCAUGUAAGCAAAAGCUCUCAGCACUGAAAAUCUUCCCAAAAAAGUAUUCCCCUGAGCUGACUGUGAAACCAAGAAUGAGAGACAAGCGUGAACCUUCCUCCAGCCCCUUCUGUCAUCUGUGCAUGCUCGUGCCACGUGUCACUACAAACUGUUGGGACAUCUGGAACGGGUUCAUGAAAGUUCCUCUGUCUGGUUCAGUGCCUGGUCACAGCGAGUUUUCCUGGCACAAGUGAGUGGAAAGAGCACUUUGGCAUGGAGAGGAAAUGAGCAGUGGAGGGUGAAAGGUGUCCUGGCAGGCACUUCCCAUCUGUGUCCUUAUCUCCCAGGCUCUUCAAAGGCUCCCCAGAUACCGUGUCCUGCAAGUUCAAAACCCUGCAGCCCACUGGGACUGGAAAUGUGUGAAGGAGCACAAGAAUUGGAGUUGAAUGACAGUGAUAAAUACAGAGCCGCCUGCCCCUGGGGGCCAUGCACUUCGUUCCUCCCCCCAGAGUGUGCAAAUAUUUGCAGCAGAGCAGCCUCUGAGCUCGGAGACGUGAGCAGCGACACGAGGAGGUGCAGCCCAGGGCAGGGGCAAGGCCAGAGGGUGUGAAACCAGCACACAGCCCCCGGGGUAAGUGGCCUGCAGAGUUUAGGAAGCUCCUGCCUGGUCUC